CCACCCAAGGCUAGUUCAGAUGUUUGGGAGAUGCAUGUGGAUGGGUCAUCCAACUCUAUGGGAUCGAGAGCAGGACUGAUCCUCUCGGGCCCAAAUGGGACCGUCGCCGAAUACGUCCUUCGUUUUGGAUUUUCGAUAAGAAUAAUGAAAUAGAAUAUGAAGCUUUAGCUGUCAGCCUCAGAAUCACCAAGGAGCUGGAGA
Molecule: long non-coding RNA, 201 nt
Filed under: Elaeis guineensis (African oil palm)
Lineage: Eukaryota; Viridiplantae; Streptophyta; Magnoliopsida; Arecales; Arecaceae
Description: long non-coding RNA (EGUI_LNC026128)
Source: RNAcentral